GGAUGCGAUCAUACCAGCACUAAAGCAUCGGAUCCCAUCAGAACUCCGAAGUUAAGCGUGCUUGGGCGAGAGUAGUACUAUGAUGGGUGACCUCCUGGGAAGUCCUCGUGUUGCAUCCC
This 119-nucleotide ribosomal RNA is filed under the name Aegilops tauschii subsp. strangulata. The record is from RNAcentral. Lineage: Eukaryota; Viridiplantae; Streptophyta; Magnoliopsida; Poales; Poaceae.